This 858-nucleotide ribosomal RNA is filed under the name Bacillus sp. LT58. RNAcentral's name for it is "bacterial SSU rRNA". It matches the Rfam family "Bacterial small subunit ribosomal RNA", at positions 56 to 895 of the family's 1533-position model. The record is from RNAcentral. Lineage: Bacteria; Bacillati; Bacillota; Bacilli; Caryophanales; Bacillaceae.
UGACAGUCGAGCGGACAGAUGGGAGCUUGCUCCCUGAUGUUAGCGGCGGACGGGUGAGUAACACGUGGGUAACCUGCCUGUAAGACUGGGAUAACUCCGGGAAACCGGGGCUAAUACCGGAUGCUUGUUUGAACCGCAUGGUUCAAACAUAAAAGGUGGCUUCGGCUACCACUUACAGAUGGACCCGCGGCGCAUUAGCUAGUUGGUGAGGUAAUGGCUCACCAAGGCAACGAUGCGUAGCCGACCUGAGAGGGUGAUCGGCCACACUGGGACUGAGACACGGCCCAGACUCCUACGGGAGGCAGCAGUAGGGAAUCUUCCGCAAUGGACGAAAGUCUGACGGAGCAACGCCGCGUGAGUGAUGAAGGUUUUCGGAUCGUAAAGCUCUGUUGUUAGGGAAGAACAAGUACCGUUCGAAUAGGGCGGUACCUUGACGGUACCUAACCAGAAAGCCACGGCUAACUACGUGCCAGCAGCCGCGGUAAUACGUAGGUGGCAAGCGUUGUCCGGAAUUAUUGGGCGUAAAGGGCUCGCAGGCGGUUCCUUAAGUCUGAUGUGAAAGCCCCCGGCUCAACCGGGGAGGGUCAUUGGAAACUGGGGAACUUGAGUGCAGAAGAGGAGAGUGGAAUUCCACGUGUAGCGGUGAAAUGCGUAGAGAUGUGGAGGAACACCAGUGGCGAAGGCGACUCUCUGGUCUGUAACUGACGCUGAGGAGCGAAAGCGUGGGGAGCGAACAGGAUUAGAUACCCUGGUAGUCCACGCCGUAAACGAUGAGUGCUAAGUGUUAGGGGGUUUCCGCCCCUUAGUGCUGCAGCUAACGCAUUAAGCACUCCGCCUGGGGAGUACGGUCGCAAGACU